Molecule: ribosomal RNA, 379 nt
Filed under: uncultured eukaryote
Lineage: Eukaryota
Description: bacterial SSU rRNA
Rfam family: Eukaryotic small subunit ribosomal RNA
Source: RNAcentral
CAAUAGCGUAUAUUAAAGUUGUUGCGGUAAAAAGCUCGUAGUUGGAUUUCUGUCGAGAACAUGCGGUCACGAUUUUUGUCGUUGCAUCUGUGUUGGUCUUGGGCAUUGCCUCUUGGGGAACUAUUCGUAGCUGCUUCACUUGCGUGGAGUGGUAUUCAAGACUUUUACUUUUGAGGAAAUUAGAGUGUUUCAGGCAGGCUAGGCCGGAAUACAUUAGCAUGGAAUAAUGGAAUAGGACUACGGUCUCUUUGUUGGUUUGAGGGACUGCAGUAAUGAUUAAUAGGGAUAGUUGGGGGGCAUUAGUAUUUAAUUGUCAGAGGUGGAAUUCUCGGAUUUGUUAAAGACUAACUUAUGCGAAAGCAUUUGUCAAGGAUGUUUU